RNAcentral lists this ribosomal RNA (660 nucleotides) under Paenibacillus lautus. RNAcentral's name for it is "bacterial SSU rRNA". It matches the Rfam family "Bacterial small subunit ribosomal RNA", at positions 52 to 693 of the family's 1533-position model. Lineage: Bacteria; Bacillati; Bacillota; Bacilli; Caryophanales; Paenibacillaceae. The record is from RNAcentral.
UAACUGCAGUCGAGCGGACUUGAUGGAGUGCUUGCACUCCUGAUGGUUAGCGGCGGACGGGUGAGUAACACGUAGGCAACCUGCCCUCAAGACUGGGAUAACUACCGGAAACGGUAGCUAAUACCGGAUAAUUUAUUUCACAGCAUUGUGGAAUAAUGAAAGACGGAGCAAUCUGUCACUUGGGGAUGGGCCUGCGGCGCAUUAGCUAGUUGGUGGGGUAAUGGCUCACCAAGGCGACGAUGCGUAGCCGACCUGAGAGGGUGAACGGCCACACUGGGACUGAGACACGGCCCAGACUCCUACGGGAGGCAGCAGUAGGGAAUCUUCCGCAAUGGGCGAAAGCCUGACGGAGCAACGCCGCGUGAGUGAUGAAGGUUUUCGGAUCGUAAAGCUCUGUUGCCAAGGAAGAACGUCUUCUAGAGUAACUGCUAGGAGAGUGACGGUACUUGAGAAGAAAGCCCCGGCUAACUACGUGCCAGCAGCCGCGGUAAUACGUAGGGGGCAAGCGUUGUCCGGAAUUAUUGGGCGUAAAGCGCGCGCAGGCGGUUCUUUAAGUCUGGUGUUUAAACCCGAGGCUCAACUUCGGGUCGCACUGGAAACUGGGGGACUUGAGUGCAGAAGAGGAGAGUGGAAUUCCACGUGUAGCGGUGAAAUGCGUAG